CUCUCACAUAGAUUCUCUAUCACCCCCACCUCAUUGCUGGUGCCUCUCUCUCUCUCUCUCUCUCCUAAACACCCACCGCACCAGCUCGGCCCAUCCUCCUUCUCCUCCACUGGUGCCUCCACCGAAUCCGAGAAGACUGUCGAGAUCUGAAUCAGAUUUGAGUCCUUGUCUUGAUUCCUGAUCUCCCUCAACCUUGUCUCUACCACAUCCCUCCAAACAAGCCAAACCCUAACUUAACUGCUCAAUCUCGACCCUCGAUUGGAGUCCUCUCAUUCCCUCUCGAGCCCCAAAUCGCCGUGAUAUCGACCAAACACGCUUGCAUUGUCGGAGUUGCACUUGAUUGCUACUUCAAACAGAUCUCUCCGAUGCCUAGUUGGUCCAAAAAAUAGCUUAGAAAACAUGAACCAGCUUAGAUUACACAAAGUUGUAGGAAUGGGCCAAGUGUUUUGGGUGUUUUUCAAAAUUGUUUUCGAAAAUCUUCAUCUUCUUCCUCUUCAUCAUCAGCUAGGGUUUCCUAGUUUUCGAGCUCUUUGAAGAUGUCAAUGGCGUCACAAGAGCAUCUGAACAAGAUGCAGCUCCGUCAAAACUACCGUAACCUCUGGCACACUGAUCUCAUGGGUACCAUUCAGGUCGAAACUUCAUUUGAAGAUGGAAUUCAUUGUUAUACAUUAGGUUUGGAUUCACUUGGUGCUAAGCUGUAACUUGUUGUGAUAUUGCUGGAAUUGCAGGUUUGGGAUGUUUCAGUGUACCAAUGGUGUCCUGUAUUUUCAGUGAUAUACUACUAUCUACAACACUAGGGCACAAAUUACUAACCUUUAGUGUACCAAUGGUGUCCUGUAUUUUCAGUGAUACACUGCUAUCUAUUCCCUCUGUCCCAAAUUGUUUGUUUGGCACGGAAUACAAUAACUUAAAAUAAAGUAUUCUCGUACCGAAAUUUCAAAAAAAUGUACCCAAUUAAAAGAUCUUAUCAAGUAUUUUUAAUUUGUGGAAAAAAAUUGAAAAUUUUGGCACAAAAAUAUUUUUAAAUUCUUGUUUUUUGUGCCAGACAAACAAUUUGUGAUGGAGAUAGUAGUAUACUCAAAACAUUUACUAUAAUGGCAGUAGACACAAUAUGUCUCAACACUAUAUGUGCUUUUCCUUUCCUGGAUUUUUAGUCAUAUUUUCUGAAUUCUGGUUGUGCAGUUCAGCUUACUGUCCUAUAUGGAAACCCUGCUAAUAUGGAAACCAAUUAGUGAAGCUGCAAUUUGAUUGUGCUGACACAUUAUCUCUGUUGUAACCUCUGGUCAAUGACAAAUUACGAGUAUGAGGAAAAUGCUCAAAUUGUUUACUCAGCAUUGGCUGCUGACAAGGAGGUGUUGUCACAUGAUGCUUUAAAUCCGACCAACUUUCCUCGAUUAUUGUUCUUCAAUCAAUCUGAUGUUAAUAAAUUUUAUAUUUAACAGUUGCAGCCAGACAAAGUGAAAAGGCAGAUGACUGUAUCUAAUGGAAAGCUUUCUGUGCAUUUUGAAGCAGUUGAAACAAGAUUUCUUCGUGCAUCAUUUAGUGUUUUCGUGGAUGUUCUUAUGCUCGUCACAAAAACAAUUGAAGAAUUUGGUCAAGGAAUGGAAUUAUGAUUCCCUUUGUAGUACUGUUUGAUUAGUGUGGCUAGUUUUUCCAGCUAUUCAGCUGUAAUGUAACUCUAUUUAGCAUUUUUCAUAUCAAUUUUGGUUGCCCAUUCUUUUUCUUUUCUUUUUUU
Camellia sinensis is the source of this 1735-nucleotide non-coding RNA. The record is from RefSeq and is a predicted model, not a curated record. Lineage: Eukaryota; Viridiplantae; Streptophyta; Magnoliopsida; Ericales; Theaceae.